RNAcentral lists this ribosomal RNA (253 nucleotides) under uncultured bacterium. Its description in RNAcentral is "partial 16S ribosomal RNA". It matches the Rfam family "Bacterial small subunit ribosomal RNA", at positions 524 to 776 of the family's 1533-position model. The record is from RNAcentral.
UACGAAGGGGGCUAGCGUUGUUCGGAAUCACUGGGCGUAAAGGGCGCGUAGGCGGCCGAUCAAGUCGAGGGUGAAAGCCUGUGGCUUAACCACAGAAUGGCCUUCGAUACUGUUUGGCUUGAGACCGGAAGAGGUUAGUGGAACUGCGAGUGUAGAGGUGAAAUUCGUAGAUAUUCGCAAGAACACCAGUGGCGAAGGCGGCUGACUGGUCCGGUUCUGACGCUGAGGCGCGAAAGCGUGGGGAGCAAACAGG